UUUAAAGUCUAAUCUGCCCUAUGAGGAGUUAAAUGGCCGCGGUAUUUUGACCGUGCAAAGGUAGCAUAAUAAUUAGUUUUUUAAUUGAAAGCUGGAAUGAAUGAUUGGACGAGAAAAUGACUGUCUCAAUUUAAUUUUAUUAGAAUUUUAUUUUUAAGUAAGAAAGCUUAAAUUUUAUUAAAAGACGAGAAGACCCUAUAGAGUUUUAUAAUUAGUUGAUUAUUAGUUGUUAAGAAUUAUUUUAUUAAUAUUUGAUUAAUUAUUUUAUUGGGGCGAUAGGAAAAUAUUAUUAACUUUUCUUACAAUUAAUACAUUAAUUUAUGAUUUUAUGAUCCAUUAUUUAUGAUUAGAAGAUUAAGUUACCUUAGGGAUAACAGCGUAAUUUUUUUUUAGAGUUCUUAUCGAAAGAAAAGAUUGCGACCUCGAUGUUGGAUUAAAAUUAAUGUUUGGUGUAGAAGCUAAAUAAUUAGGUCUGUUCGACCUUUGAAAUUUUACA
Molecule: ribosomal RNA, 496 nt
Filed under: Euserica mutata
Lineage: Eukaryota; Metazoa; Arthropoda; Insecta; Coleoptera; Scarabaeidae
Description: partial 16S large subunit ribosomal RNA
Rfam family: Bacterial large subunit ribosomal RNA
Source: RNAcentral